GCACUUGGUCUUUAAUAAUAAUGUUUUUAAAAGUACAUAAUCAGUUUGCAGCAAGCAGAAAAACAGGAAUGGGGAGUAACCCGACUAACAAUGCAGGAACAACAUAAAGAAUACAGGAAGCUGCAGGUAAUAGAAACAACAUUUUUUUCGAUGACCAAGCAUUUGUCUGUGAACAAAUGUGGGUGGGGUUAAGGUCGUGUUUAUUAUAUCCAAACUGUUGCUGACGGAAGAGACGAGAAAUGAAACUUAACUGAGACCGACGGUUGCAGCCAAGAUGAGUCCAGGGUAUGCUAUCCAAGUCCCGCUGUUGUCGAUCAGACUCACAUUGGGAUCAGUUGACAAAUAGGACCUUGGUUUAACGGUAAGCAUUAUUAGUGGUAUUAUUAUUAUUAGUAGUAGUAGUAGCAGUAGAAGUCUCAUUAUGUGUAUACAAAAUGAUUCUAAACGUGAAUGUGGAUUUUUUUUUUUUUUUAAUGGCCGGUAUUCGGCAUUUUCUCAUGGUUAUCAAAUUGUUUAUAAAACAUUGGACAGUGCGAAACCGACUGUUAAUGUCACACUUCAGUAACUCUAGUUUCUUUAUAAGUUUUAUUAUAAUAAGUGUUUUUUUUUUUCUUGUUCCUCUGGAACCAUUAUAAUAGUAAUAAUGUAAAUUAUGCUCUGUGUGAUGACACGACCAAUGUAUAUCAUAACAUCAUACGCUUUUCAGGUGAAGUCUUGUUUUUUUUAAUUUUUUUAAAGAAGUCAAUAAUCAGUUUUCAGCUAGCAGAAAAACAGAAAUGGGAGGGAGGCUGAAGCCCCUGCAUCAUCAGACUAACCGUGCAGGAACAUCAUAAAGAAUGCAGGAAGCUACUGUUAAAAGGAGCAGCAUUAUUGCUGCUGACGCAAAAGAAGAGAAAUGAAACUUAAGUAAGACUCCAGCUGAGUCCACGCGAUGCUGUCCAAGACCGAACAAUCAAACUCACGGUGGGGUGAGGUGACAUAGGACAUCAGUCAGUGAAAAUAUUAAUGGUAUUAUUAUUAUUAUUAUUAUUAUUAUUAUUAUAUGGGGAAGCCCACGUUACACCUGGUAUUGUAUUUAAAGAUGUGUAAUUACGCCAUCUAGCGGACUUUAGACCCGCUUUACUUUUUCUACGUGGUUAUUUAUUGUAUAUAAAUACAGACGUUUUAAUAAUGGUGGUGGCAAAUGUCACUACUCGGCAGCCAUCUUGAAGCGCAUCGGGGCACUUCCUUAGGCAGUUAUUUAGAAGCAUUAUCUCAAUAAGUUUAAAUUUCAGUGGUCAUUAGGGUAACUGUCUAUAUAUCACAGGUCUAAUUUUAUAAAUAUGGUUUUGCCCCAUAGAUUUAAUUUCUGGGUUUAUGAGUUAUAUUUUCUUAUGAUGUUUCUGGUUAAACACUGGUAGCUCAAAUGCGAGAAUCCUUUACAGACAGAGAGAAUUCUUAAUAGAAAUCUGAGGGAGUUUAGUAAGCAUCUUGAGUAAGUGACCUACAAACUGACAGGCUAAUGCAGAGGCCGGGGUUCAAAUUCACUUCAAUUUGCCGUUUGCCUCCCCCUGCUCUUUCUCUCAGCUCCCAGCUGUCUGGUCUUAUCUCCACUGCACUGUCGCAGUAAAGACACAAUAGAAAAAACAAACUAAAAUACCUGGAGCCACCAAAUUUCUGAAAAGCAAUAGCUUCCUCUACCACCCUAAGUAGACUAUAGACUGCAUAUCUAGGUAGACUUAGUGCUUAGUGAUUCUCAAAAAACUAGGAAAAACUUAACUUUGAUUUUUGGUGUGGUUUGAAUCCAGAUCUCAAAGGGCAACUGUUGUUGCAUAAUUUUGUUUCAACACAUUACACAAUGUACAACCCCUCAACAAAUUGAGAAACCACAAGAUUUGCAAGAUUUGCAAAUUUCAUAAACCCAUAUGUUAUACACAAUUAAAGCAUAAUUGGGGAGGGCUUGCAUUUUUCAGUAAGACAGUGCUUAUUGCAGCCAUAGCUCCUACUACAAAGAAGACCCUGGGUGCUAAACUGCUUUGCCUACAGUCCAGAAGUGAUUCUCCAAUUUACUUAAUCCAUUUACUUAAUAUUGUAAACUGAAUGUAAUCAAAAUUGUACUUAAUAUUAAAUAUGGCAAAUGGCCUGUAUUUGUAUAGCGCUUUACACUGCAUUCAGUCAUCUUGAAUGUGUGUGUGAACAGUGUUGGUCAAAUUACUUGAAAAAAGUAAUCAGUAACUAAUUACUGAUUACUUCCCCAAAAAAGUAAUCCCUUUACUUUACUGAUUACUUAUUUUCAAAAGUAAUUGAUUACUUAGUUACUUUUUAAAAACACCAUUUACAACUAGGGCUGCCACGAUUAGUCGACUAGUCACGAUUAUGUCGACUAUUAAAAUCGUCGACGACUGAUUUAAUAGUCGACGCAUCGUUUGAAGCUUUGUAAGAUCACAAAGGACGCAGGAAUGAGUAGUAGGAUUUAAGAGUGUAAUAACGGACUGAAACAGAAGAUGGCAGCACUGCAUGUACAAGGAUGCCAGCUGCCGUUAAACCCCGAAGAAGAAGAAGCUGUGUCCCAGAAUUCAUAGCGCAGCCCAGCGCAGUUGUCAACAAUGGUGGCAGCUAGUUAGUUUUAACUUUACUCUUAUUAUUCUUUCUGGGUCACAAAAUAAACGUUUAACAUAUUUUCAGGCGAGAAUGUAGCCGUGUAAAUCUCAAAUAUCUGCUCAGUUUAUCAAGACACCACGUAUUUUCAAAAGCGCUCCGACGUUUUCGGAGACGUCUGUUACCUACUAGCUCGUUAGCUAGGCGGGGGCAAGGCUAACUAGAGCCGUGAGAACACCGGACUCCCGGCAAAUCGUUUUCAAACCCACCGCCGUCUUUCGCUAGUCAGGUUAAACAUAUAUAUAAGUCACUUAGAUAACUUAAAAAUGUUAUUGUUUGGCUUUCUUUAGUAUUUUAUUUGUUCCUGAGUAAAUCGGUUUGGCUGAGAUUAAAGUUAUAGUUUUUGCACAGCUAAAACUGUCAAGCAGACAGCUGAUUGUCAGAAGUGUGAGACGCUGGAGAAUAUACUCCGGUGUCCUGUUAUAUUUUAGAAAGCAAGGAGUUUAUUAAACUUCACCGAAACAAUCUGCAAAUUUCAUUAAAAAUUAAUAAACUACCAUCUUGUCUUUAUUUUUAGUUAGCACAAACACUUCAAGCUGUAAGCUAAUGAUAGUUAUAUAAGACCAGAUGCUUCUGGUGCAAUAAGCUGUACGCUGUACGUCCAAUGGAUGAUGAUCUAAUUAGUCGACUAAUCGCAAAAAUAAUCGGUGACUAGUCGACUAUCAAAAUAAUCGUUUGUGGCAGCCCUAUUUACAACCUGAAUAGGUGAUAAAGCGAUAGAUCUUUCAGCCCAAUUCUACUUUUUCUGCAUAAUCAUCAUACAAAAUGUAAUCAAAUGGAAAAGUCUCUUUUUAAAACUUGUUUUAUUAGUUUUAAUCUUUUAACUUCAUGCAUCAAGCAUAAAUGUAAUUAUAUGCAACAUUCUCUGACUGGAAGAAAUUUGUUUAAUAUUUAAACCUAUUUUCUGCACAUUCCAGCACAUUUUUUUUUGUGUGUUUACACUCACUCUUUCAAAUAGAUGCAAGUAAAACACAGCAGAAAAUAAAUAAAGUCAAAGACUAGCUGUCCUUUUGCUCUAUUUUCACCUGUAAAGCAGGAGUGGGGUAGGCGGAGGUUACCCUGGUGCAGGUGUGCCGCAGAAGUCAGAGGAAGAAUCCGCGAGUUUCUCUGUGAAUUUCCCAUUACGUGGUAGCUACUCGGUGCUUGUUCGGAAGUUUAGGGGGGUUUUUUGCUGUAAAAAGAAGUUUUCUUCCCACGCACAACGGACACUAAUGUUUUUGUCACUUUUUAUGGAAUCAAACUCAAAGUAAGAUCAGUACUUCCACGCUUUAAACGCUGCACGCUCAUACUCUCGCCCGCACUGAUAUAUUAUCCAUUGUUGCUCUGCACACAGCUGUUGUCACGAACGUCACACUUGCUUACGUCACUGUCAUGAGACAUUCUCGCAAAAUAAUCACGUUUUUAGUAACGCAGCGUUCCUACGGGAAAGUAACGGUAAUCUAAUUACCGUUUUUGCAAUAGUAAUCCCUUACUUUACUUGUUACUUGAAAAAAGUAAUCGUUACUCCCCAACUCUGUGUGUGAAUCAUUCAGUCAUUCACACACACAUUGGUGAUGGCAUGCUACAUUGCCACUGUGAUCAAUUGAAUAACAAUGCCUGGCAGCAUGGCGCACUGACAGAGACAAGGCUGCCGGACACUGGCGCCACCGGGCACUCUGAGGUGUGCAGUAGGCAACCAGUUGGCGACCAGUAGGCGACCGAGACUGUCUGCGCCAGGGCUCGAACCAGCAACCUUCCGAUUACAAGAUGAACUGCCAACUCUUGAGCCAGGUUCCAGUUUCAUGUUCCCAGUGCCUUUGUUGUUUGUUUUUCCCUUCAUUAAUAAAUACUCACCUGCACCAGAACUGCCGCGUCCUGGUCCUAAAUAUUCCACACGGCUUGCCCUGGCAAACCGUGACAGUACGAACCAGCCACCAUGGACCCAGCGGCAGUAAAUCCGUCCGAGGAGCUCCGGGACGACACUACAUAUAAUGUGGAGAUUCUCCUCGGGCUGUGGCUAGAGAACCCUCCAGAGGAGCUUCGCCGCACCGUGGAAAGUCGGCUACAAUGGCUCUUUUCUGGCCUGCCAUGGCUUCUGAAGUCGCUUCCUCCGACCAUGCAGGCUUUUCUCCAGCACACACCGCACCUUCUCUCAGCCACUCCUGCCUCACUGCCCAACUCGCCGGAUGUGAUCUUGCCCGGCCCGUCGGAGCCGUCUGCGGGGAGGAAACGCCGAUCGCACACUCUUCUCAGCUAGCUGCCCCGCAGCCACACUCUGCUCGGCCACCAGUGUCUCCCUCUUUUCAGUGCCUCCAGUGUCACCUGUAGUUCAGGCCCCUGCGCCUCCAGUGUCACCUGUAGUUCGGACCCCCGUAGCUCCAGAGUCACCUGUAGCUCAGGCCCCCGUAGCUCCAGUGCCCCCGCUACCCGCAGCUCCAGUGCCCCCGCUACCCGCAGCUCCAGUGCCCCCGCUACCCGCAGCUCUGGCUCCAGUGUCACCGGUCUCACACACUCACUCUACGCAGGGAGAAAGUCUAAGUUCCAGUCAGGGAAUUUCUCGCGCUUUAGCUGCUUCAGGCACCGUUCUGCACUCCAGGGCUUCCCCAGAGGCUAGGUCUCAGUCCCCAGCUGAUUCUGGACCCCUGAAGUCUAAGCAGCCACCUGAGAACUGCACCAUGUCAGCAUUGCCUGGGCAGAGCCCGUGGAGGGUCCGAGGGACCGCUCCGGCCUUCGUCUCCUGUCUCCGCUGGAGGGUCCGAGGGACCGCUCCGGCCUUUGUCUCCUGUCUCCGCUGGAGGGUCCGAAGGACCGCUCCGGCCUUUGUCUCCUGUCUCCACUGGAGGGUCUGCAGCGCCUCUGGCUUCCACGCCGCCGCCUGCAGCGCCUCCGGCUCUGGCUUCCACGCCACCGCCUGCAGCGCCGCCGCCUGCAGCUCGUCAUCCUCGCCUGGCCCAGCCUCCGUGUCUUCAGCGUCGCCUGGUCCAGCCUCCAUGUUUUCAGCGUCGCCUGGUCCAGCCUCCGUGUCUCCGCCUUCAGUGUCGCCUGGCCCUGCCUCGUUUGGGUCUGCAGCUAAACGGCCGCUUUCUAGGCCGCUGGCCAGGCAACUGGCCAGGCGCCAUCGCCGUCGUGGGCAGUUCCCAGACCCUCUUUGCCUGAGUGGCCGCCGUGGCCCUCCGCACGGCCGGCUCCGGCUUCCACGCCGCCGCCUGCAGCGCCUCCGUCUCCGGCUUCCACGCUGCCGCCUGCAGCGCCGUCUGGUCCAGCUGCAGCCUCGUCAUCCUCGCCUGGUCCAGCUGCAGCCUCGUCAUCCUCGCCUGGCCCAGCCUCCGUGUCUUCAGCGUCGCCUGGUCCAGCCUCCGUGUUUUCAGCGUCGCCUGGUCCAGCCUCCGUGUCUCCGCCUUCAGUGUCGCCUGGCCCUGCCUCGUUUGGGUCUGCAGCUAAACGGCCGCUUUCUAGGCCGCUGGCCAGGCAACUGGCCAGGCGCCAUCGCCGUCGUGGGCGGUCCCCAGACCCUCUUCGCCUGAGUGGCCACCGUGGCCUUCCGCACGGCCGGCCCCCGGACCGCCAUCGCCUGAGUGGCCGCCAUUGCCUUCCGCACGGCCGGCCCCCAGACCCUCCUCGCCUGAGUGGCCGCCGUUGCCGUCCGCACGGCCAGCUCCCAGACCCUCUUCGCCUGAGUGGCCGCCGUUGCCUUCCACACGGCCGGCUCCCGGACCAGUGCUGUCGCCGUUGCCUUCCGCACGGCCGGCCCCCGGACCAGUGCUGUCGUCGUCGCCGUUGCCUUCUGCACGGUCGGCCCCCUGAACUGUUUGGACUCCUGUGCUGGCCGGCCCCCUGACCUUUUCUGUUUUGGACUCUGUUUUCCUGUGCUCUGGUGUGCUUCUUUUCUUUUGGUUUGGACUCGUGUUUUGUUUUUAUUUUUGUCUUUUGGCCUUCUAGUGCUCCUGUUUUGUUUUGCCUUUGUUAGUUUUACCCAGUUUAGGUUCCAGUUUCAUGUUCCCAGUGCCUUUGUUGUUUGUUUUUCCCUUCGUUAAUAAAUACUCACCUGCACCAGAGCUGCCGCGUCCUGGUCCUAAAUAUUCCACACGGCUUGCCCUGGCAAACCGUGACAACGUUAUUGUUUCGGUGAAGUGAAUUUCUACAAUACUGUUACUGUUAAUUGUUCUCUCUGCACUGUUUAAAUGCUUACAUAUACACACACAGUUACUGUCCCUCCACACAUACGACUCGGUUCUGCUUCUAUCCCCCAUCUUUGUUUACUAUUUCCCACCGAGGCUUCUAGACUUCUGAUUGGCCAACAUUUCUACACAGUUAGGAAUAUAUCGCCACCUGUUGCUUUGGCAUGUUCUUAGCAGCGUUUUCCUUCAUUUUUGCGUUUACAUGUGGACGGGAUUAUUUUUUUUAAACGAAAACGGAAAAUCUCCGUUUUCAAAAAUACCUGUUUACAUGUGGACGUAGCCUUAGAUUACGAUGACCUGGAUGACUGAGAACCUUCACAGACACUAUGCUCAAAGCAGUUCAGCUCUGGUGUUUUCUCUGUAUUAUUUCAAAGUGUUUACCUUAUUACCAAAUCACAACAACAGUCACCUCAAGGUGCUUUAUAUUUAAAGCGUGACUGUUGUGAUUUAGUGUUAUACAAAUAAAAUGUAAUUGAAUUUAACUGAACAGAAUCUAACACCAAUAAAAUGCCUAUAUAUUACAGAGGAAAACAUUGCUAAGAAUAAGUCAAUGAGAUUUUGUUUUGUUAACACCAGAACAUGCAAUUGAAAAUAUACUGAAGUGAAUUAAUAUACCUCUAUAAAGACUAAAAACUGUAUGGCUAUUUUUAAAUUGAGCUGCUGAAAGUAAACGGUUUAUUUAAGUCUGUCUAACCCGGAAUGUGCCCCACUUAGUUUGCCAGUGCUGGUUACUAGCAUCAGCAUGGAAGUGGAAAUCUAAGUUGCAAAAACACUUGAAAUGCACUUUCUAUGAAGUAUGAGACAUUUUGUAUCCAAUAAUAGUAGUUUUGAGAAUUAAAUUAAAUGUACAUUGCUUCUCUUCACAUCCCCAACUAAGUACUUCACUAAUCUAUCUUUACUGUUAUAUCUUAUUAGUAUUUUAAGUAUUCUAUCUAUUUUAUUUAUUGAAUUUUAUUGUUUUAUUUAUAUUUUGAUAUUGCUAGGGAUGAUGCAAUGAUCGGGGACCAUUCUUAAUUUCGUUGUUCUCAUGACAAUGACAAUAAAGUUUCUGAUUCUGAAGAUUAAAUGGCUGAGUCUUAGUAGAUAAUUUCUGCAGUGACUGAACACAC
Astatotilapia calliptera (eastern happy) is the source of this 7903-nucleotide long non-coding RNA. NCBI's taxonomy places the organism in Eukaryota, Metazoa, Chordata, Actinopteri, Cichliformes, Cichlidae. The record is from Ensembl.